Molecule: ribosomal RNA, 254 nt
Filed under: uncultured bacterium
Lineage: Bacteria
Description: partial 16S ribosomal RNA
Rfam family: Bacterial small subunit ribosomal RNA
Source: RNAcentral
UACAGAGGGUGCAAGCGUUGCUCGGAAUCAUUGGGCGUAAAGGGUAGGUAGGUGGUCUUAUUUGUCUGGGGUGAAAGCCUUGAGCUUAACUCAAGAAGUGCCUCGGAAACGGUAAGACUUUGAGUCUCGGAGAGGGUCGUGGAAUUCCCGGUGUAGCGGUGAAAUGCGUAGAGAUCGGGAGGAACACCAGCGGCGAAGGCGGCGACCUGGACGAGCACUGACACUCAACUACGAAAGCGUGGGGAGCAAACAGG